Cyanistes caeruleus (blue tit) is the source of this 2238-nucleotide long non-coding RNA. RefSeq lists it as uncharacterized. The record is from RefSeq and is a predicted model, not a curated record. NCBI's taxonomy places the organism in Eukaryota, Metazoa, Chordata, Aves, Passeriformes, Paridae.
UUGCAGGAGGCUUUGGGGCAAGUCCCCACCAGUCCUCAGCUGCAGGAACAUUUAUUUGCUGUUUUUUGUUGGUAGGCAGAGGCAGGUCCUGGACACUGCCCACUCCUGGUGACUCACACUGGAGCAAUCCCUUUUUUCUGUUUUCAUUGGGAUAAAAAUCAUCUCCAGGAAUGGAUGGAGAAGGCUGCGUUGUUCAGCUCGUCGCUCACAGCGUGAAAUCAGGUCCUAAUGAGUGGUGAAACUCCAAACCAUGGAGCAGGAUGUAUUGAAAAGGAGAAAGAGAUGUUCUUGUGCCCAGACCUCAAAUAAGCGACAGGCCUGAAGAUUAGUACCAUUAAAAAAGUGCCAAAAAGGGGAUUUUCCAGUGACCAGACCACAUUUUUUCAACACAUGGUGCUCCCAGUUUGCUGGGAGAGUCCAGGGACGUGCCAGUGAGUGAAGGAAGCACAGCCUGGGGAGAGAAGAAUCCCACUUUUCAGAAUAGAAAUGAAAUAUUUCUCUGCAGAGCAACUGGAGAAGAUCCAUCAGUAAUACCCCGAUCCCUGCAGAGGGGAUACACCAUUAAUAAGCCACACUGAGUCAUUCCCUACAGGAAUAGUAUUUUUCUCCAGGGCCAUUGCGUGCUCCAGCUAUUCCAGAGCCAUCCCACUUGCUCUGUUUCCCGACUGACCCGCUUGGCAUCUGCCUGUGCUGCUGUCAGAGCGAGUUUACUCCCACCAUGGGGCUGGGAUUUAUGUCUGACAUAUGUUCCUCCUCUUCCCAUACUCCAGCACUGACGCUCCAGCUCUUUUUCCACGUUCUCUAAAAGAAAAAGGGAUGUUUUUCAAGCCUGGCCUCAAUUUUGCUGUGUUUUUGAUGCUUUUAGCAGAGCAGAGCUCCUCAUCCUACCUCCCUCUCCGGCCUGCAGCAGCUCACACUCCAAUUUUGGGAUGCCACAAGCCCAGCAAGGGUGAUCCUCCUUUUCUCCAGGGUUUAUUCCAAAGCAAAAUGUCAGGAUGAGAGGAACUGGCUUUGCUUUGCACCAGGGGAGGUUGGAUUAGGUAGCAGGAGGAAAUUCUUCAUGGGUAAGGCUUGGUUGGGGCAGUGGUGGAGUCACCAUCCCUGGAAGUGUGCAGGACACGUGUGGAUGUGGCACUGGAUAUGGUCUAAUGGUGAACACGGAGGUGGUGCUGGACUGGAUGAUCCCAGAGGUUUUUCCAACCUUAACAAUUCCAUGAUUCUAUGACGGUAGGAGACAGAUUUAAUCCACAGCCCUGAAAAAGCAGGUGGCAAACAUCAGAUUAUCUGAAUUGGCAGCUUUAACUCACACCCAAAGAUCACAGAAUCUGAAUUUUGGGGUCUUUUAUUUUAUCUCUUUCCCCCAUAGCAUUUUGAAGGGAGAUUUUUCCUCUCGUUCCCUCACCACUUUGUCGUGUGCCACUGACUGAGCACGAGCCCAACAGGUUUAGAAACACCCCACUGGUGGAUCCCUGGGCUGGAAACGCACGUUGGGUCUGAUUCCCACAUCCUGGAAGAACUGCUGGGUGCUGGAGGCUGGAUUGCUGCUCCAGGGAGGCAGAGAGGAGGCAGGAAGCACAUGGGAACUGCAGGAGGAGCCUGGCUUUGCCCCCAGGGCUCUGCACUCAGUGGGUUUUGGUUGUACAGGAAAAUGUGAAACCUGUUCAGUCGGUUCCCUCCACACCAGCAGCAUCUCGGGGCUUUGGAAGCCAAAGGACAAUUGCCUCAUUCAUUUUCUGGGGUUAGUUUAUUAAAAAAAUGUCUAUUUGUGUGUUAACCUUGUGAUGGGGUGCAGGAAUGGGAUGACUUGGAAAUCCUUGGAGUUCUGAAUGCAACUGGCUACUGACUGAGCUCUGGCUGUGACAAUGAUUUGAUAACUAAUUAUCUAACAAGGUUCAUAAUUAUUAUUAUUACAAAGUUCUGAUAUGAAGUUUUCAAGCAUGGGCCUAUAUAAGAAAUAAAAUAAUUUUUUUUUUAAAGUGUGGUUUGGCCAGGAUAUUGAAAAAGCACUUGGCUUCUCAAAAUUUAAAACCUUUGUGUCCUACACUGGUGAAUCUAAUAAACAAAGUAAAAUGUAAUAUGAAAAUGAGCACUAAGUGUGAAUUUGGCUGAGUUUUGCCUCUCACUUGGGCCCAGGAAAGAUUUUCCAACAGAAGUCCAGAAGCUUCAGCACAAUGGAAAGAAAAAAUCCUCGACUUUCAAGGAGCAAAUGCUGCUUCAGCAAUGGAAAUAGAAGGUAAC